GCGUGUUAUGCUUUGAAUAAGACAUUCGACUGCAAGGGGCCACCUGCGCAUUCUCUUUCUAUCAAACAAUGCAAUGAUUAUAACUGCACUCUGGGAUGUGACAGCACACAAAAUUGUGAUCAGCAAUGUCAUGGUGAAUGUCUUCUGGAAUGUACAAGCAGACCGACACUUAAGCAGAAUUGCGACAACGGUGAAUGUGAUAUGGUGUGCCACGGUCAGAAUUGUGUGCAGAAUUGCAAUUCUGGUGCUAGGAAAUGCAGUCUGCGAUGUGACAGCAAACAACAAUGUACGCAGAAUUGCAACAAUGGCGAAUGUGAUAUGGUGUGCCACGGUCAGAAUUGUGUGCAGAAUUGCAAUUCUGAUGGUAGUAAAUGCAGUCUGCGAUGUGACAGCAAACAACAAUGUACGCAGAUAUGCAACAAUGGCGAAUGUGACAUGGAGUGCCACGGUCAGAAUUGUGAGCAGCAGUGCAAUUCUGGUGCUAGUAAAUGCAGUCUGCAAUGCCACAGCAAACAACCUUGUACGCAGAUAUGCAACCAUGGUGAGUGUACACUGGAAUGCCAUGGACCAAACUGUACGCAAAAAUGUAACGGGAAUCAAGUCAGCUGCCAGCCGAAGUGUCAAGUUCCAAAUGACCCAAUCCAAUGCGAGCACACUUGUUUCGCCCACGAUAACAAGUGCACCUCUACUGCUACUACGACGGAGAAAACUACUGUACCGCUCAGAACAGCCUCGGAUCAUCCUUGCAGGCAUUUUUGCUCAGAACAGUCAACACCGCUAUCAUCAUCUCCACCACCGUCUCCAUCCCUGACAGCCACGAAAACAUCUUCUUGGUCGUCUUCAUCGUCAUUGGCAUCAUUAUCAUUUUCGGCAUCAUCUUUAAAAACUGUAACAUCACCAUCGCCAACAGUGUCGACACCUUCAUCAUCACCAGUGGCAUCAGAGGACAGAAGUCUUGAAUUCAAUAAUAUUUUGUCGAUAACAGCCACGACAACAUCAGUAGCCGCGGCAUCAUUACUUUCAUUAUCGUCAUCUUUUUGGUCAUCUUCAUCGUCAUCAGCAUCAUUAUCAUUACCGGGAUAAUCCUUAAAAACUGCAUCACUUUCAUUACCACCACCGGUAACAGUAUCAACACCCUCUUUGUCACCAAUGGCAUCAGAGGACAGAGGUCUUGAAUCCAAAAACACUUCUCGAACGGAAGAAUUGGUGACAGUGUUUCUUUCUGCCUUGAACAAAACCAAUGUCCGGCAAGGGUCGUCAUUGAAGGUAUCCGUAACUUUUUUUACUAAACUAAAGUAGCUAAGAUAAUUAAAUUUAUAAUAUUUAUUUACUUCAGAAACAUUUUUGCUCUACAUCAUAAACUAGCCUACCCCUAAGGAAAAAGUCAGUUCAGUCACCGCCCGUCCA
This is an unclassified non-coding RNA of Orbicella faveolata, 1407 nucleotides long. The record is from RefSeq and is a predicted model, not a curated record. Lineage: Eukaryota; Metazoa; Cnidaria; Anthozoa; Scleractinia; Merulinidae.